Molecule: ribosomal RNA, 495 nt
Filed under: uncultured bacterium
Lineage: Bacteria
Description: partial 16S ribosomal RNA
Rfam family: Bacterial small subunit ribosomal RNA
Source: RNAcentral
GACGAACGCUGGCGGCGUGCCUAAUACAUGCAAGUCGAACGCUGAAGGAGGAGCUUGCUUCUCCGGAUGAGUUGCGAACGGGUGAGUAACGCGUAGGUAACCUGCCUGGUAGCGGGGGAUAACUAUUGGAAACGAUAGCUAAUACCGCAUAACAGUAGAUGUUGCAUGACAUUUGCUUAAAAGGUGCAAUUGCAUCACUACCAGAUGGACCUGCGUUGUAUUAGCUAGUUGGUGAGGUAACGGCUCACCAAGGCGACGAUACAUAGCCGACCUGAGAGGGUGCUCGGCCACACUGGGACUGAGACACGGCCCAGACUCCUACGGGAGGCAGCAGUAGGGAAUCUUCGGCAAUGGACGGAAGUCUGACCGAGCAACGCCGCGUGAGUGAAGAAGGUUUUCGGAUCGUAAAGCUCUGUUGUAAGAGAAGAACGAGUGUGAGAGUGGAAAGUUCACACUGUGACGGUAUCUUACCAGAAAGGGACGGCUAACUACGUG